RNAcentral lists this ribosomal RNA (901 nucleotides) under Purpureocillium lilacinum. Its description in RNAcentral is "large subunit ribosomal RNA". The stretch from base 295 to 901 matches the Rfam family "Bacterial large subunit ribosomal RNA", at positions 2046 to 2910 of the family's 2925-position model. Lineage: Eukaryota; Fungi; Ascomycota; Sordariomycetes; Hypocreales; Ophiocordycipitaceae. The record is from RNAcentral.
AGUUCAUAAUACAGUAUACAAUUCUAUAGGAUAUAAAAAUAUGGGAGGUAUAAGAUUAGAAGUUAAAGGUAGAUUAACUAAACGUUAUAGAGCAGAUAGAUCUAUAUAUUCACUUAAAUGAAAAGGUGGAUUAAAAAAUGUAGAUUCAUCAUUUAAACGUUUAAGUUCAGUCUUAUUUAGAGGAAACUCUAAAUCAAAUGUAUCUUAUUCAUUAACUAAUUCAAAACGUCGUAUUGGAGCGUUUGCAGUAAAAGGUUGAAUAAGUGGUAAAUAAUAAAGAAAAAAUAUGUGUAGAAUAAAGAUGAAGACAUAGUCUGAACCAUUUUGAAAGAAAUGGAAAUAUAAUAAUAUGAUAACAUAUAGAACAGGCUAAUUUGCGCAAGAGUGUACAAAAUGAGUGCGCGGUUUGGCACCUCGAUGUCGGCUUAACUUAUCCUCAUGGACGCAGGAACUAUGUAGGGUGCGACUGUUCGUCGAUUAAAAAGUUACAUGAGCUGGGUUAAAUACGUCGUGAGACAGUAUGGUUUCUAUCUUCUAGGGGGAAUUAGAAUAAAAUAAGAACGAACUUUUGUACGCAAGGAACAAGAAGAAUUUGACCCGUAAAAAGGUUAAAUUAUGGUUACUAACCUCUGGUUUACCUGUUGUUUAUGUGCCCAAUAUUAAAUAUAUAUACUUAGUAUAUAUAUAUGUAUUUUUAUACAUGGGAUGUUUCUUUCACUAAGAUAAAUGUAUAGCAUAAGCACGGCAGGAACGCUAAGUUGGUUAAGGAUAAGUGCUGAAAGCAUAUAGGCACGAAGCUUAUCUUAAGAUAUUUCUUAAAUAUACGUAAUAUAAUAUUACGAAACUAUAGGCUUUAUCCGUACGAAUCUAGAGAUUUUCAAGAAUAAAGUACUAAUUUAAU